CGUGUAGGCGGCCUUUUAAGUCUGAUGUGAAAGCCCGGGGCUUACCUCCGGAAGUGCAUUGGAAACUGGAAGGCUAGAGUACCGGAGAGGAGGGUGGAAUUCCUGGUGUAGCGGUGAAAUGCGUAGAUAUCAGGAGGAACACCGGUGGCGAAGGCGGCCCUCUGGACGGCUACUGACGCUGAGACGCGAAAGCGUGGGGAGCAAACAGGAUUAGAUACCCUGGUAGUCCACGCUGUAAACGAUGGGCACUAGGUGUUCGGGGUAUUGACCCCCUGAGUGCCGCAGCUAACGCAUUAAGUGCCCCGCCUGGGGACUACGGCCGCAAGGUUAAA
Molecule: ribosomal RNA, 332 nt
Filed under: uncultured bacterium
Lineage: Bacteria
Description: bacterial SSU rRNA
Rfam family: Bacterial small subunit ribosomal RNA
Source: RNAcentral